Molecule: non-coding RNA, 110 nt
Filed under: Mycolicibacterium smegmatis MC2 155
Lineage: Bacteria; Bacillati; Actinomycetota; Actinomycetes; Mycobacteriales; Mycobacteriaceae
Description: mraW RNA
Rfam family: mraW RNA
Source: RNAcentral
GGACCUAGCCCGUGCAACGCGGCCUCUGCCCGAAUUGGCCCUGGCGUACUUCCCCAACGCCAGGUCCGUUGAUUCGGACAGAGACCCCGGUGCAGGGGCGGUCCAGUGCG